This 1925-nucleotide long non-coding RNA is filed under the name Capsicum annuum. RNAcentral's name for it is "long non-coding RNA (CANN_LNC010608)". The record is from RNAcentral. Lineage: Eukaryota; Viridiplantae; Streptophyta; Magnoliopsida; Solanales; Solanaceae.
AAUGAUUGAUUUUACUGUUCACUAUAAAAUAAUCACUUCAGCUUUUGUUAAGCUUACCUCUUAUUUUGGGAUGGUGAUUAUCUUUGAAUUCCAUGAUAAAUUUUCCUGCGUUCAAUGAAAAGGUAAGCUGUUUCAUAUGUAUCAUUCAUAAGAUCAGUAGAUAAUGGCUGAAUGUAUUGAAAUUGUGAAUUGUUAAUUGGUAACAUUAGCAAAAAUAUUCGUAACUUGUAUAUUACAUAUGGUAUGGUAUUGUUUUAGUUUCUUUCUUGGUGCAAUAGUUGUCCUUAUAUAUUUUUGUAACGCUCGCUAUUUUGUGUAAGAUAAUCAUAUUAUAAUCAUUUGAAGAGAUAUUUGUCAAAACAGUGAAUGUAAGAAUACAACCUCUUAUGAGAAACCAUAAAUGAAAGUGUCGUUUGACGACAUUUGUAAUCAUUUUUAUACAUAUUAUUUGACACUAUGAUAGUUCAAAAGUAAGUAUGUUGUGAAAGAAAAUAGUAAGUUGUAUGUAACUAAUAAAGAGUGAAUAAUAUAAGUCUAUGUCAAUACAUAUCCUAUAUUGUCAAAGAAUAUAUUCGAUUUAAUGGGGAAUUGAAUUUGUUUAUAGGGGAUGAAAUUGUUACGCAAUGAAAAAAUGAAUAACAUGUUAGUAGGAGUUAAAAGAUAGAAGGGAUAAACUUACAACUCCAUUACAGGUGGGUAGAACUGCCGAUGGUUUAUAGAAUCUGAAUAUGUCAAUUACAAGAGACACAAAAUUGGUAGUGACAACAAGAAAUAAGUUAGUACAAAGUCCUCAUGACAAUGCUUUAAGACAAAGUACACUUUAAUGGAGCUGUAUGUUUUCUAACUUAAUAGACGACAAUCAACACGCCUUCAAAAAUGCAGAUUUAUACAAUGCGAAAUAGGGAAAAUGUAAGCAUUUGUAAUAUUUGAUUAGUUAAUGGUCAUCUUGGCAAAUCAUAACUCUUUAAGCAAUCAAGUCAAGAUUGCUAACUUUCGAUGGGAUAUUCGGAAAAGUAAGAGACACUAUUGUAUAGUUGUAUGGGGUAUCAGAAGUGACUUCUACUGACAAUUGAUUGUGGCAAAGGUAGAUAUGAAUGGCCAAUUUUAAAAAAUAACAGAGGUUAUAAUGUUAGAAGCAAGAGCGAUUAAGAAGAACAGAUGAAUGGGAAGUGGCUACAACAUACAUUACCUGUAAUCUGAAAUAAUAUCCAAAUUUUCUAAGUUACUUGUGCUUCUGUUACUUUAAAUAAGUUUAGACCUGUAGUUCAAGUGUUAUAAGCAUUUUUUAUAUAUUAUUUCACCACACCGAUCCUCUUGAAGCACGGUACAAGUUUAAGUGAUUUUUAGUAAAAUUGACUAUUUGACAUAAAGUUGUGAUGUUAAUAGAGUUUAUGCAUAGGGGCAAGUCGACAUAUGGUUAGUCGAAUAGGUAAGUCUAUGUAUUAGAGAUAACAGCCAAAGCAAAAGCACAAAAGCAUUCAAAUGUAAUUAAAUAUAUUUUUUCAUUACAACUAAAAGCUAAAUUUCUUUUAGAACAGAGGCAGAUGUUGAUGGCAUUUCCCAGUGUAGUGAAGAUGUCAUAUGGUUUGUUGAAUCCUAUGUUGCUCGGACUCCUAAAAAAUAUCAAUGGAUGCAGGCUGGAUGUUCAUAAUAUUGUAUUUUUUUGAAAAGCUGUCACGUAUGUAGAAUCAAAAACGACGAGUAUGUGAAACUUAGGUUGAAGGUAAAUGGAACUGUAACGGGACAUGUUACAAGAAUGGAAUUUAUAAUAAUCAAAUUUUCAAACAAAGUAAUAAGUUGUAUAGAAGAGAUGUAACUUCAGCUACAUUCUGCAUAACUGAAAGUAUGCUCUUACUAAACCAUGUUCAACAAUUCUACAAAAACAAAGGACACAUAGAGUAGACAUACUUCUGAACCAAAAACGG